UUUGAAGUAAAGGCCUGUUUUAUACGUUUCCUAAGUAGUAAUCCCCAUAAAACCAACAGUUUGGUGUACUCAGCAGGUUUUUUCUAGCACAAAAGAAAACACGCUUAUCCCUAAAGUCUCAGAGAUCAUCUCUUGCGUUCUGGUGGCACAUGCGCCUCAUCCCAGGCAACACUGAUUUGAUUAUGCUAAGGCAGGUUGCCAGAGAGACUGACUCUCCCUCAUUAACUUGGUCCUCUCUCUCCCCAGCAGUGCCUUUCCUGAGUUACACUUUAACCACCCCAGGCCGUUUAUUCUCCGUGAACCCAGGCUGCCUUUCAUGGGAAUCUGAAACUGAGAGAAUGUGGAAUGGCCUCCUUUCCAAGAGCUGCUUGGUUCUCACCCGUCUUGAGUCCUGCUUGUUCAGGGCCUCUUGGAUGUCAGUAUAUCCCCAGUUUGCUUAAGUUCCCUCAAGUUCAUCCUGAAGAACCUUAGCAGUUCAAACUCUCUCUCUUUCUCUUCUCCUCUGCCAUGAUGACUUUGGAGACCACAAAUUGCAAAUGAUGUUAGCUACAAGAUGGAGAAGAGCUGCUGACCUGCUGAGGACUACGGCUUGAAUGAGUGUGGCAGCUAGUCUUCAAAGACAGC
This 624-nucleotide long non-coding RNA is filed under the name Equus caballus (horse). RNAcentral describes it as "lncRNA (ENSECAG00000042679.2)". Lineage: Eukaryota; Metazoa; Chordata; Mammalia; Perissodactyla; Equidae. The record is from RNAcentral.